AUACGGAGGGUGCAAGCGUUAUCCGGAUUUAUUGGGUUUAAAGGGUGCGCAGGCGGACCUGUCAGUCAGUGGUGAAAUCCCGGGGCUCAACCCCGGAACUGCCAUUGAUACUACAGGUCUUGAAUACGGUUGAAGUAGGCGGAAUGUAGCAUGUAGCGGUGAAAUGCAUAGAUAUGCUACAGAACACCGAUCGCGAAGGCAGCUUACUAAGCCGAUAUUGACGCUCAGGCACGAAAGCGUGGGGAGCGAACAGGAUUAGAAACCCGGGUAGUCC
Molecule: ribosomal RNA, 274 nt
Filed under: uncultured bacterium
Lineage: Bacteria
Description: partial 16S ribosomal RNA
Rfam family: Bacterial small subunit ribosomal RNA
Source: RNAcentral